This 781-nucleotide long non-coding RNA is filed under the name Callithrix jacchus (white-tufted-ear marmoset). RNAcentral describes it as "lncRNA (ENSCJAG00000059420.2)". Lineage: Eukaryota; Metazoa; Chordata; Mammalia; Primates; Cebidae. The record is from RNAcentral.
UCUUUGUUAACCUAGAUGUCUCAAAUACUCUUCAGUAAGGGUCUAAAGUGAGAAAUGACUUAAACCAGUCAUCAAUGAAUUUCUACCCAGCUUUGUCAACCCAAAGGACAGAGUAGCAACUUAGCUGGUGCUCACAAGAGCCAAUGUUUGUUUGUUUCAGAUGGAAGAUGAAAGCAAGAGAGAAAAGAAACAGUACAGUUAGAAAAAAAGAAGUGGGGAUUCUUAAUCUUGAGGGUGUAUAAAAAUAUAAAAAUACUGUCAGAAGAGGAGGCCUUUCAAUCUGCAGCCCUGUUGAGCUUGUGUUCUGAGUUCUGCUGUUCUUUCUCCAGGUAAUAGAGGACUUGAAGGCAUCACACAGAAGGUACAACUUCAAAUCCUGUUCUAAGGCUUGGGAGCAGAUCUAUGGACCCCACUCCUGAGUCAAUUUGCCGUAAAACAUGUGAUGCUGUGCUGGAGCCUAGGCAAAGCCAGGUGAGAUGUGGUUCCUGCUAUCAAGCUGACUAACAUCUAUCAGGAAGAAUAGAUCAUGGUAACUUACAUGAUAAUAGAGUUACAUGUGGGGUCUUGAAAUAAAAGUGAUCAUCUAAAUCAGACAGGGAGGUCAGGAACGUAUCCUGGAGGAAGAGAUACUCAGGCUGAGUUUUGAGAGAAAGUAAGAGUGUAGUAGUCAGACCUGACUCAGAACACUGGCCAUUGUCACCCCUCCCUCUAAGGCAAGCUGCCUGUCACCCGUGGACCAGCUGGUGUGAAGACUGCAUUGCAGCACCUGAGCCGCCAGCCC